RNAcentral lists this ribosomal RNA (441 nucleotides) under uncultured bacterium. RNAcentral's name for it is "bacterial SSU rRNA". It matches the Rfam family "Bacterial small subunit ribosomal RNA", at positions 339 to 796 of the family's 1533-position model. The record is from RNAcentral.
CUACGGGAGGCAGCAGUGAGGAAUAUUGCACAAUGGGCGAAAGCCUGAUGCAGCGACGCCGCGUGGGUGAAGAAGGUCUUCGGAUCGUAAAGCCCUUUUCUGCGUGACGAGGAAGGACGGUAGCGCAGGAAUAAGUCUCGGCUAACUACGUGCCAGCAGCCGCGGUAAAACGUAGGAGACAAACGUUAUCCGGAGUUACUGGGCGUAAAGGGCGUGCAGGCGGUUUCUUAAGUUCGUCGUGAAAUCGCCCGGCUUAACCGGGCGGGGUCGAUGGAUACUGGGGAACUAGAUGGCGGUAGAGGCGUGUGGAAUUCCGGGUGUAGUGGUGAAAUGCGUAGAUAUCCGGAGGAACACCAGUGGCGAAGGCGACACGCUGGGCCGUACCUGACGCUAAGACGCGACAGCAUGGGGAGCGAACGGGAUUAGAAACCCUGGUAGUCC